CAGUCGCCGCGGUAAUACGAAGGGGGCUAGCGUUGCUCGGAAUGACUGGGCGUAAAGGGCGCGUAGGUGGUUAUGUAAGUGAGAUGUGAAAUCCCCGGGCUCAACCUGGGAACUGCAUCUUAUACUGCGUAGCUGGAGUGCAGUAGAGGGUAGUGGAAUUUCCGGUGUAGCGGUGAAAUGCGUAGAUAUCGGAAGGAACACCAGUGGCGAAGGCGGCUACCUGGACUGACACUGACACUGAGGCGCGAAAGCGUGGGGAGCAAACAGGAUUAGAUACCCGUGUAGUCCCUGUCUCUUAUAC
This 301-nucleotide ribosomal RNA is filed under the name uncultured bacterium. RNAcentral describes it as "partial 16S ribosomal RNA". It matches the Rfam family "Bacterial small subunit ribosomal RNA", at positions 509 to 807 of the family's 1533-position model. The record is from RNAcentral.